Molecule: long non-coding RNA, 1067 nt
Organism: Juglans microcarpa x Juglans regia
Lineage: Eukaryota; Viridiplantae; Streptophyta; Magnoliopsida; Fagales; Juglandaceae
Exons: 3
Source: RefSeq, a predicted model, not a curated record
CGUGGACAGGAUCUUCACUGACAGCCUUGAAUCUUCCUCGCAUGCCUCCAAACGCGGUGCAGUAUGCUGCUCCAAGUAGUGUUGGGCUUCCUGUACCCCCCACCCAGGCCACCAGUCAUGCCCAUGGCUGCUUCGGUUCGGCCACCUUCGCCUUCAAUGCCAAUGACUUCUGGACAGCAAUCUCUUGUGGUCAAUCAACCACCCUCAAUGCCACCAUCAAUAUCUAUGAAUGCCCCCAGUAUGCAUGUACCACCUCCACCUGGUUCACAGUUUGCUCCUAUGCCAGUUCCCCAAACUUAUGUUCCCCUUCCUGUACACCCACUUACCACGCCUAUGUUGCCUCCGCCGCCGUUGCCUUAAGGAAUGCCUCCACCACCACCACCUGAGGAAGCUCCUCCACCGCUUCCGGAUGAACCAGAGCCAAAGAGACAGAAGCUUGAUGAUUCUUUUCUUAUUCCGGAAGACCAGUUUCUUGCUCAACAUCCAGGGCCUAUUCGUAUCUCCGUGUCUGUUCCCAAUGUUGAGGAAGGAAAUCUCAAAGGGCAGCUUCUGGAGAUAACAGUGCAGUCCUUAUAAGAAACCGUUGGCAGUCUGAAAGAGAAAAUUGCAGGAGAGAUCCAGCUUCCUGCCAAUAAGCAAAAACUGAGUGGAAAACCUGGCUUUCUCAAGGGCAAUAUAUCGUUGGCAUAUUAAAAUGUUGGAGUAGGAGAAACACUAGCCCUUUUCUUUAAGAGAGCGCGGUGGUAGAAAAAGAUGAACAGCUUCCAUGACCAGGACAUUCGAGCUCUGACGGCAGGCAGCUAUUUACACCUGCCGGGGGACUGCAGUAACGGGAGGCAGCAGAUAAAUUCUUAAUUUUUAUUGUAUCGCCCUGAUUGGUAGAAAAAACAACAAAGACGUCAUCGAUUUCUGUACAAAAAUACAAGCCAGGAACUGAGAAGAUUUUCUUAUAUUAUCGAAGAUGAUUAUAAUUUAUUUUAACAUUCAUCAUUGGAGAUAUUUCGGGUGAUUCAACAGGAUUGAAAUGCCAACUUCUUAUGAAAAACUGAAGUUAUUUCUCUUCCCAA